AAUGAACCUCUGUUGUUUGUAAUUAACCCCCGCAUCACCACAAAGUCUUUGUCUGGAAUAUUGUCUUAAACGGAUUGUUUUCCACACCUCCGGCGCAGCUGAAAAGACUUUAAAGGUGCCUGGAGUAUGUUUGCAGCAGAUUCAGCCUUGUGCAGCAGGCCAAGGACAGUACAAUUUGGUUGGACCAGGGCUGCCUGACCAAAGCGCUCCACUCCACCUGGGUAAGGAGCGCGUGUCCCUGUCGGGAUGCCAGCCCUCAUCCCGAAGCGGCUGUGCCCAGGAGGGGACACGCUGAGUCACGUGCGAACACCUGGAUCCUGGAAAUAGCUGGAGUGCGGGAACGGCGCCGGAGGACACAGUGCCCGAAGUCAGGGCCGCGCGUGGUAAACUGCUCUGAGAAUAAAGGCGCUGCAUCAAUACACUGGUUUUUAGAUGACUGUCAUUCCUUUAAUAGGAAAUACAUUAAAGAGAUUUCCGGAGCCUCUUCGUGCAGAAAAACAAAGCAAAAUAAAAACCGCAAACAAAACAAAAC
This is a long non-coding RNA of Corvus hawaiiensis (hawaiian crow), 532 nucleotides long. RefSeq lists it as uncharacterized. NCBI's taxonomy places the organism in Eukaryota, Metazoa, Chordata, Aves, Passeriformes, Corvidae. The record is from RefSeq and is a predicted model, not a curated record. The transcript is spliced from 3 exons.